GAUGAACGCUGGCGGCGUGCCUAAUACAUGCAAGUCGAGCGAAUGGAUUAAGAGCUUGCUCUUAUGAAGUUAGCGGCGGACGGGCGAGUAACACGUGGGUAACCUGCCCAUAAGACUGGGAUAACUCCGGGAAACCGGGGCUAAUACCGGAUAACAUUUUGAACCGCAUGGUUCGAAAUUGAAAGGCGGCUUCGGCUGUCACUUAUGGAUGGACCCGCGUCGCAUUAGCUAGUUGGUGAGGUAACGGCUCACCAAGGCAACGAUGCGUAGCCGACGUGGGAGGGUGAUCGGCCACACUGGGACUGAGACACGGCCCAGACUCCUACGGGAGGCAGCAGUAGGGAAUCUUCCGCGAUGGACGAAAGUCUGACGGAGCAACGCCGCGUGAGUGAUGAAGGCUUUCGGGUCGUAAAACUCUGUUGUUAGGGAAGAACAAGUGCUAGUUGAAUAAGCUGGCACCUUGACGGUACCUAACCAGAAAGCCACGGCUAACUACGUGCCAGCCGCCGCAGUAA
RNAcentral lists this ribosomal RNA (515 nucleotides) under uncultured bacterium. RNAcentral describes it as "partial 16S ribosomal RNA". It matches the Rfam family "Bacterial small subunit ribosomal RNA", at positions 28 to 523 of the family's 1533-position model. The record is from RNAcentral.